This 508-nucleotide ribosomal RNA is filed under the name uncultured bacterium. Its description in RNAcentral is "partial 16S ribosomal RNA". It matches the Rfam family "Bacterial small subunit ribosomal RNA", at positions 28 to 523 of the family's 1533-position model. The record is from RNAcentral.
GAUGAACGCUAGCUACAGGCUUAACACAUGCAAGUCGAGGGGAAACGAUAUUGGAAGCUUGCUUCCGAUAGGCGUCGACCGGCGCACGGGUGAGUAACGCGUAUCCAACCUGCCCACCACUUGGGAAUAACCUUGCGAAAGUAAGACUAAUGCCCAAUGAUAUCUCUAGAAGACAUCUGAAAGAGAUUAAAGAUUUAUCGGUGAUGGAUGGGGAUGCGUCUGAUUAGCUUGUUGGCGGGGUAACGGCCCACCAAGGGGACGAUCAGUAGGGGUUCUGAGAGGAAGGUCCCCCACAAUGGAACUGAGACGCGGUCCAAACUCCUACGGGAGGCAGCAGUGAGGAAUAUUGGUCAAUGGGCGAGAGCCUGAACCAGCCAAGUAGCGUGCAGGAUGACGGCCCUAUGGGUUGUAAACUGCUUUUAUAAGGGAAUAAAGUGAGCCUCGUGAGGCUUUUUGCAUGUACCUUAUGAAUAAGGACCGGCUAAUUCCGUGCCAGCCGCCGCAGUAA